RNAcentral lists this ribosomal RNA (253 nucleotides) under uncultured bacterium. Its description in RNAcentral is "partial 16S ribosomal RNA". It matches the Rfam family "Bacterial small subunit ribosomal RNA", at positions 524 to 776 of the family's 1533-position model. The record is from RNAcentral.
UACGGAGGGGGCUAGCGUUGUUCGGAAUUACUGGGCGUAAAGCGCACGUAGGCGGCUUGUUAAGUGAGGGGUGAAAUCCUGGAGCUCAACUCCAGAACUGCCUUUCAUACUGGCAAGCUAGAGUCCGGAAGAGGUGAGUGGAACUCCUAGUGUAGAGGUGGAAUUCGUAGAUAUUAGGAAGAACACCAGUGGCGAAGGCGACUCACUGGUCCGGUACUGACGCUGAGGUGCGAAAGCGUGGGGAGCAAACAGG